AAAAGUGUGAAAAUUCAAGGAAACAAGUGAAAAAAGGUGGUGAGCCCUCUGACAAGGGUAAAAAUGUUGUGUCAGAGAACUAAGAUUAGGAGUAUUUCAAACUCUUGAUACGGCUCAGGAUAGUCGGUAGAUAGCUCAUUUCGUUGAG
Theobroma cacao (cacao) is the source of this 148-nucleotide non-coding RNA. NCBI's taxonomy places the organism in Eukaryota, Viridiplantae, Streptophyta, Magnoliopsida, Malvales, Malvaceae. The record is from RefSeq and is a predicted model, not a curated record.